Molecule: long non-coding RNA, 2446 nt
Filed under: Schizosaccharomyces pombe (fission yeast)
Lineage: Eukaryota; Fungi; Ascomycota; Schizosaccharomycetes; Schizosaccharomycetales; Schizosaccharomycetaceae
Source: RNAcentral
UUAAAAGACAAAGGCUAAAUCUAACAUUGUAAACAUUAAUGAGUUGCAAGAUAUUAAAAUACAUAUUCAAUGUAAUUUGUAUACAAGAUUUGAUUGGCGUAAACAAAUUACAUAACUGAAUGAAUGAACUAGAAAUGAAACGCACCGAACAUCUAAUGACAAACGUAUAGUCGGUAAGGAAAUUCCUAUCAAAAUGGAGGUAAGGGGAAGCCCUAAAAGGCAGAUCUAGGAAGGCAUAACUAAAGGACUUUUUGUAGUAAUUAGUUUUAAAUGUAUUAGACGAAUAAUGAACGAAAUCAUAGGAACAUGGAAACACACAGAACCGGGGAAGUAAAAAGAUGGGAACAGGAAUCUAAUAAUAGGUUUAACAACACUUCUUUAAUGGUAAAAGCUUUUGCUUCCACUCACUCCACGCGUCUAGUCGUUUGUUAUGAACAUCACGAAUUUCAUCAACACUACUCCACCCGGACUCAAUCAUGCGUCUCUCGGCCGCAUCAUAGGCAGAGUCGAGUUGAAGAAUCUCCUCAAGCAAGAGAUCGAUCUUCUUUAGCUUCUCAGCAGCAUCCAUGUUCUUGAUGUCGACCGGCGAAGCAUCCGUCUUGAUACUAGGAGGUUGCGAUGCACUAUAAAGAGGAUCAGGAGAAUUUGAAGUAGAAGGAUGAUUCAAAUGACUAGUGGAAACCGACAGUGGUGUUAAAUCAGCGGAGUCAAGGGACACCCCAGUAGUAGGGAUGCGUAAAGGUUGGUGGGCUUUUGACAAACGCACCAUACGAGACGAGGGGAGGAAACGUCGAAGCAUGCCAACCACCCGUUUAGAAGAAUUACAUAAAGGAGAGGAACUAUCGGAGGGCGUAUUAGAACCAUGCUUGGUAAAAGACCAUUUGGAUUUAGUAGAAGCAUUAGAUAAAGUGAAAUUUUGCGAAUCCAAAAUGGCGCACUGCCCUCCGAAGUCAGACGGAUUAAUAUCGUCCGUAUUUGAAUACUGUCUGGAUAUCGUAUCGUCCGAAAACAAAUUAUUGUUGUUGUGGUCGGACAAGAAUGAAGAAGGACUGGGAAUGACACCAGAGCUCUGAUCUAGAGAAAAAUCCCAUUCAUCAGGAGCUAACGGAGUUACCGGAGUGGUAACUGUAUGUAAAUCAUAAAGAGAUUGAGGCGAAAGGUCAGCAUCAAAACCUUUAGCAGGAGUGUGGAUGGCUAAAGGAGUGUCCAAGCUCAAACCAUCAGAACUGUUGUUGCGGUUCGAAUGGAAGAGCUCCUCAUCAAUAAAAGCACGAACCUUUCCAGAAAACAUUAUGUAAAAAGAAAAUUAAAAGGUGAGGACGAGCCUGUUGUAAUAUUGAAGGGGAAGAGAGGAGUGAUGCAGAGUGUUGGCAACAAGACGCAGCAGUAGGUUGUUUUAAACCAGCUGGUAGUGUUUAAAUGUUCAAAGCGGAAAAAAAGUAUUGUUCCAAGGCUUCUCCAAAACGGUCAACCGCGUAUCCUAAGAGUGAAACAAGUUGGGAAAAAAAGAAGAAAACAACAAAGGGUAUCAAUUUUAGGAGUAGCGGUGAGUGGAAAACUUUUCUUUUCCAGAAGAGGCAAUUGGCGCGUUCCCACUUGGAAUAUCACCUUUUUUAACGACUUUGCAACAAGUGUUAGGGUAUGUUGUUGACAGGUUUUUAUACAGUCCCCAACUGACAAGUUACGAAUAAUGUGCCUUAACGGGUUGAAAUUCAAGCUUAACGAGUAAUAACGGAUUACCCUUUUGGACGAAAUUUCAAAAUAACAAUUUGUGCACUGAUAGAACGAAGAGGAAAAUUAAGUAAUUUUCUUUGUUGCUUGCCGGUUUCGUAGAAAAAAGAGAAAAUUGGAACAAAGAACCUAGGGAGCUGAAUGAAUUAUAAGGAUGUGAUAAUGCUUGCCUAAGUAUGCUGAAAUGAUGAAAAAGACUGUGAAACCUGGAAAUCAAUUGCUCUGUUGACCAAAAAGUUAGAUAUUAAUUGGGAAACAUACAAACAAAGAUGAACGGGAUGUCCACUAAAGUAUUUAAUAAAAAGAAAAUGUCCAUUUCGAGAAAGGAAGGAGAAUCGGCUGUUUCCGGGGAAAAACGAGAGUAUAACAAUUAUAAGAUUUAGUACAACUUUUCAGCACGUCUAGCUCAUUCUAUGAUUUGGUCAAAAACAAUAUAGGAGUUAUGGUUAAAAAUACAGCGAUUCUACAAAACGCAGUAAAGAGUCACAAACGACAAAAAGAUGAAGUGGACAUGGGCUCAUGCAAUGAAAAUUUUCGAUUUUAUUAGUAGAGAUGUUUGCGCUAUGCCAUCAAUGGCACUAAUUUUGCUUUAAAAACAUUGUUAGCGACUUGAGGAGGGCUCCCUCAUUGAAGGAUCAAAAAUGUACAAACCUCUCAAGUAGAUAAGCCGAAUCGGUAGUGCAGAUGUAAAGAUUUACAUUAAAAACAUUAAUGA